RNAcentral lists this ribosomal RNA (496 nucleotides) under uncultured bacterium. Its description in RNAcentral is "partial 16S ribosomal RNA". It matches the Rfam family "Bacterial small subunit ribosomal RNA", at positions 28 to 506 of the family's 1533-position model. The record is from RNAcentral.
GAUGAACGCUGGCGGCGUGCCUAAUACAUGCAAGUCGAGCGAACGGACGAGAAGCUUGCUUCUCUGAUGUUAGCGGCGGACGGGUGAGUAACACGUGGAUAACCUACCUAUAAGACUGGGAUAACUUCGGGAAACCGUAGCUAAUACCGGAUAAUAUUUUGAACCGCAUGGUUCAAAAGUGAAAGACGGUCUUGCUGUCACUUAUAGAUGGAUCCGCGCUGCAUUAGCUAGUUGGUAAGGUAACGGCUUACCAAGGCAACGAUGCAUAGCCGACCUGAGAGGGUGAUCGGCCACACUGGAACUGAGACACGGUCCAGACUCCUACGGGGGGCAGCAGUAGGGAAUCUGCCGCAAUGGGCGAAAGCCUGACGGAGCAACGCCGCGUGAGUGAUGAAGGUCUUCGGAUCGUAAAACUCUGUUAUUAGGGAAGAACAUAUGUGUAAGUAACUGUGCACAUCUUGACGGUACCUAAUCAGAAAGCCACGGCGAACUACGU